UACGAAGGGGGCUAGCGUUACUCGGAUUGACUGGGCGUAAAGGGCGCGUAGGCGGCUUGUACAGUCAGACGUGAAAUUCCUGGGCUCAACCUGGGGGCUGCGUUUGAUACGUGCGGGCUUGAGUUCGGAAGAGGGUCGUGGAAUUCCCAGUGUAGAGGUGAAAUUCGUAGAUAUUGGGAAGAACACCGGUGGCGAAGGCGGCGACCUGGUCCGAUACUGACGCUGCGGUGCGAAAGCGUGGGGAGCAAACAGG
This 253-nucleotide ribosomal RNA is filed under the name uncultured bacterium. RNAcentral describes it as "partial 16S ribosomal RNA". It matches the Rfam family "Bacterial small subunit ribosomal RNA", at positions 524 to 776 of the family's 1533-position model. The record is from RNAcentral.